This 745-nucleotide ribosomal RNA is filed under the name Laparocerus crassus. Its description in RNAcentral is "eukaryotic LSU rRNA". It matches the Rfam family "Eukaryotic large subunit ribosomal RNA", at positions 402 to 914 of the family's 3401-position model. The record is from RNAcentral. Lineage: Eukaryota; Metazoa; Arthropoda; Insecta; Coleoptera; Curculionidae.
ACACCCGUUAGGGGUACACCUGAGAAACCCGAAAGGUCGAAGGGAGAAAUUCAUUCGCGUUUCGCCGUUGGCGUGAGACGGUCGUGUGACGGAAAACGUUCGCGUUUUCCGCACCUUUCGUUUUUCGAUCCGAUAGCGAACGCGUGCACUUUUCUCCUGGUAGGACGUCGCGAUCCGUUGGGUGUCGGUCUACGGCUCGCGGUGGAGCCCGAAUGUACGGCUUGCCGUUACGUUCGGACCCGUGUGUCCCGGCUGACUCGCUCGACGGUAUACGAAAGGUUUAAGGCCGCUCUUUGAGCGUUCGGCUCGUCGCAAGCGCGUCAGAUGUGUCGGUAAUCGGACCUAGUGCCGGUUCUGACCUCUGGCGACUGUUGGCGGCGAAGUUCUCGAACAGACCUUCGACCGAUCUGCGACGCUAUAGCUUUGGGUACUUUCAGGACCCGUCUUGAAACACGGACCAAGGAGUCUAGCAUGUGCGCAAGUCAUUGGGAAUCACUAAACCUAAAGGCGCAAUGAAAGUAAAGGUCCGCCUUGCGCGGACUGAGGGAAGACGAGCGGUUUACCCUUAAAAGUGGCCGCUCCGCAUUCCCGGGGCGUCUCAUUCUCAUCGCGAGAAGAGGCGCACCAAGAGCGUACACGCUGGGACCCGAAAGAUGGUGAACUAUGCCUGGUCAGGACGAAGUCAGGGGAAACCCUGAUGGAGGUCCGUAGCGAUUCUGACGUGCAAAUCGAUCGUCGGAACUGG